UACGUAGGCAGCGAGCGUUGUUCGGAGUUACUGGGCGUAAAGCGUGCGUAGGCGGUGGUCCAAGUCUGGUGUGAAAUCUCCCGGCUCAACUGGGAGGGUGCGCCGGAAACUGGGCCGCUGGAGUACGGGAGAGGCAAGCGGAAUUCCAGGUGUAGCGGUGAAAUGCGUAGAUAUCUGGAGGAACACCCGUGGUGCAGACGGCUUGCUGGACCGUGACUGACGCUGAGGCACGAAAGCGUGGGGAGCAAACAGG
RNAcentral lists this ribosomal RNA (253 nucleotides) under uncultured bacterium. RNAcentral's name for it is "partial 16S ribosomal RNA". It matches the Rfam family "Bacterial small subunit ribosomal RNA", at positions 524 to 776 of the family's 1533-position model. The record is from RNAcentral.